UUCUUUCACGAUAAAAGGUCCUGCAAAGU
This 29-nucleotide small RNA is filed under the name Bombyx mori (domestic silkworm). Its description in RNAcentral is "ovarian small RNA-37582". The record is from RNAcentral. Lineage: Eukaryota; Metazoa; Arthropoda; Insecta; Lepidoptera; Bombycidae.